Molecule: ribosomal RNA, 524 nt
Filed under: uncultured bacterium
Lineage: Bacteria
Description: partial 16S ribosomal RNA
Rfam family: Bacterial small subunit ribosomal RNA
Source: RNAcentral
GACGAACGCUGGCGGCGUGCCUAAUACAUGCAAGCCGAACGAAGCUGUUUUAACUGGUGCUUGCACCGACUUAAACAACUGAGUGACGAACGGGUGAGUAACACGUGGGUAACCUGCCCCAAAGCGGGGGAUAACAUUUGGAAACAGAUGCUAAUACCGCAUAACCACAGAAACCACAUGGUUUCUGUGUCAAAGAUGGUUUCGGCUAUCACUUUGGGAUGGACCCGCGGCGUAUUAGCUAGUUGGUAAGGUAAUGGCUUACCAAGGCAAUGAUACGUAGCCGAACUGAGAGGUUGAUCGGCCACAUUGGGACUGAGACACGGCCCAAACUCCUACGGGAGGCAGCAGUAGGGAAUCUUCCACAAUGGACGAAAGUCUGAUGGAGCAGCGCCGCGUGAGUGAAGAAGGUUUUCGGAUCGUAAAACUCUGUUGUCAGAGAAGAACGUGUGCGAGAGUAACCGUUCGUGCAGUGACGGUAUCUGGCCAGAAAGCCACGGCUAACUACGUGCCAGCCGCCGCAGUAA